RNAcentral lists this ribosomal RNA (554 nucleotides) under Calliotropis sp. 2-AW-2002. RNAcentral describes it as "partial 16S ribosomal RNA". It matches the Rfam family "Bacterial large subunit ribosomal RNA", at positions 1810 to 2620 of the family's 2925-position model. The record is from RNAcentral. Lineage: Eukaryota; Metazoa; Mollusca; Gastropoda; Seguenziida; Calliotropidae.
AAAACAUGGCCCCUCGAAAGUAGGAUGUAUGGGGGGUCGGACCUGCCCGGUGACUUUAGAAGUUAAACGGCCGCGGUACCCUGACCGUGCAAAGGUAGCAUAAUCAUUUGCCUCUUAAUUGGGGGAUGGUAUGAAUGGUUUGACGAGAAUUAAGCUGUCUCUUUUAAAAUAUUGAGAAAUUAACUUUUAGGUGAAGAGGCCUAAAUUUUGCUGAGGGACAAGAAGACCCUAUUGAGCUUUAGUUAUCUUUUGGGUAUAUGGUUUCAUUUAUUUGAAAACUUUUCUUAAAGAAAUCUUUGGUUGGGGCGACUUAGGAACAAAAAAAGCUUCCUAUGAUAGAAUAAUGGUUUUAAAUUUGCCUGUUUUUGAUCCGGUAUUACCGAUUAAAGGAAAAAGUUACCAUAGGGAUAACAGCGUAAUCUUCUUGGAGAGUACAUAUCGAAAAGUGGGUUUGCGACCUCGAUGUUGGACUAAGAUAUCCUGAGGGUGUAGCAGCUUUCGAGGGUUGGUCUGUUCGACCAUUAAAAUCUUACGUGAUCUGAGUUCAGACCGGA